RNAcentral lists this ribosomal RNA (247 nucleotides) under uncultured bacterium. RNAcentral's name for it is "partial 16S ribosomal RNA". It matches the Rfam family "Bacterial small subunit ribosomal RNA", at positions 523 to 769 of the family's 1533-position model. The record is from RNAcentral.
AGACGGAGGGGGCUAGCGUUGUUCGGAAUGACUGGGCGUAAAGGGCGCGUAGGCGGCUUAUCAAGUCAGGUGUGAAAGCCUUGGGCUUAACCCAAGAAUUGCGCUUGAUACUGAUAAGCUAGAGGAUGAUAGAGGAAAGCGGAAUUCCUAGUGUAGAGGUGAAAUUCGUAGAUAUUAGGAAGAACACCAGAGGCGAAGGCGGCUUUCUGGAUCAUAUCUGACGCUGAGGCGCGAAAGCGUGGGGAGC